UGGGGAAUAUUGCACAAUGGGCGCAAGCCUGAUGCAGCCAUGCCGCGUGUGUGAAGAAGGCCUUCGGGUUGUAAAGCACUUUCAGCGGGGAGGAAGGCGGUGAGGUUAAUAACCUCAUCGAUUGACGUUACCCGCAGAAGAAGCACCGGCUAACUCCGUGCCAGCAGCCGCGGUAAUACGGAGGGUGCAAGCGUUAAUCGGAAUUACUGGGCGUAAAGCGCACGCAGGCGGUCUGUCAAGUCGGAUGUGAAAUCCCCGGGCUCAACCUGGGAACUGCAUUCGAAACUGGCAGGCUAGCGUCUUGUAGAGGGGGGUAGAAUUCCAGGUGUAGCGGUGAAAUGCGUAGAGAUCUGGAGGAAUACCGGUGGCGAAGGCGGCCCCCUGGACAAAGACUGACGCUCAGGUGCGAAAGCGUGGGGAGCAAACAGG
RNAcentral lists this ribosomal RNA (429 nucleotides) under Chloroflexota bacterium. Its description in RNAcentral is "Chloroflexi bacterium partial 16S ribosomal RNA". It matches the Rfam family "Bacterial small subunit ribosomal RNA", at positions 355 to 776 of the family's 1533-position model. The record is from RNAcentral. Lineage: Bacteria; Bacillati; Chloroflexota.